This 255-nucleotide ribosomal RNA is filed under the name uncultured bacterium. Its description in RNAcentral is "partial 16S ribosomal RNA". It matches the Rfam family "Bacterial small subunit ribosomal RNA", at positions 524 to 776 of the family's 1533-position model. The record is from RNAcentral.
UACGUAGGGUGCGAGCGUUGUUCGGAUUUAUUGGGCGUAAAGAGCUCGUAGGCGGCUUGUCGCGUCGGAUGUGAAAGCCCGGGGCUUUAACUCCGGGUCUGCAUUCGAUACGGGCAGGCUAGAGUGUGGUAGGGGAGAUCGGAAUUCCUGGUGUAGCGGUGAAAUGCGCAGAUAUCAGGAGGAACACCGGUGGCGAAGGCGGAUCUCUGGGCCAUUACUGACGCUGAGGAGCGAAAGCGUGGGGGAGCAAACAGG